RNAcentral lists this ribosomal RNA (306 nucleotides) under Pirellulaceae bacterium. RNAcentral's name for it is "partial 16S ribosomal RNA". It matches the Rfam family "Bacterial small subunit ribosomal RNA", at positions 1206 to 1533 of the family's 1533-position model. Lineage: Bacteria; Pseudomonadati; Planctomycetota; Planctomycetia; Pirellulales; Pirellulaceae. The record is from RNAcentral.
GGGAUGGGCUACACACGUGCUACAAUGGCAGUGACAAUGGGUUAAUCCCCAAAAGCUGUCUCAGUUCGGAUUGGAGUCUGCAACUCGACUCCAUGAAGUCGGAAUCGCUAGUAAUCGCGUAACAGCAUGACGCGGUGAAUACGUUCCCGGGCCUUGUACACACCGCCCGUCACACCAUGGGAAUUGGUUUUACCCGAAGACUGUGUGCUAACCUUUUGGAGGCAGCAGGCCACGGUAAGAUCAGUGACUGGGGUGAAGUCGUAACAAGGUAGCCGUAGGGGAACCUGCGGCUGGAUCACCUCCUUU